This 1553-nucleotide ribosomal RNA is filed under the name Vibrio alginolyticus. Its description in RNAcentral is "bacterial SSU rRNA". It matches the Rfam family "Bacterial small subunit ribosomal RNA". Lineage: Bacteria; Pseudomonadati; Pseudomonadota; Gammaproteobacteria; Vibrionales; Vibrionaceae. RNAcentral also lists the same sequence under 2 other names. The record is from RNAcentral.
AAAUUGAAGAGUUUGAUCAUGGCUCAGAUUGAACGCUGGCGGCAGGCCUAACACAUGCAAGUCGAGCGGAAACGAGUUAUCUGAACCUUCGGGGAACGAUAACGGCGUCGAGCGGCGGACGGGUGAGUAAUGCCUAGGAAAUUGCCCUGAUGUGGGGGAUAACCAUUGGAAACGAUGGCUAAUACCGCAUGAUGCCUACGGGCCAAAGAGGGGGACCUUCGGGCCUCUCGCGUCAGGAUAUGCCUAGGUGGGAUUAGCUAGUUGGUGAGGUAAGGGCUCACCAAGGCGACGAUCCCUAGCUGGUCUGAGAGGAUGAUCAGCCACACUGGAACUGAGACACGGUCCAGACUCCUACGGGAGGCAGCAGUGGGGAAUAUUGCACAAUGGGCGCAAGCCUGAUGCAGCCAUGCCGCGUGUGUGAAGAAGGCCUUCGGGUUGUAAAGCACUUUCAGUCGUGAGGAAGGUAGUGUAGUUAAUAGCUGCAUUAUUUGACGUUAGCGACAGAAGAAGCACCGGCUAACUCCGUGCCAGCAGCCGCGGUAAUACGGAGGGUGCGAGCGUUAAUCGGAAUUACUGGGCGUAAAGCGCAUGCAGGUGGUUUGUUAAGUCAGAUGUGAAAGCCCGGGGCUCAACCUCGGAAUAGCAUUUGAAACUGGCAGACUAGAGUACUGUAGAGGGGGGUAGAAUUUCAGGUGUAGCGGUGAAAUGCGUAGAGAUCUGAAGGAAUACCGGUGGCGAAGGCGGCCCCCUGGACAGAUACUGACACUCAGAUGCGAAAGCGUGGGGAGCAAACAGGAUUAGAUACCCUGGUAGUCCACGCCGUAAACGAUGUCUACUUGGAGGUUGUGGCCUUGAGCCGUGGCUUUCGGAGCUAACGCGUUAAGUAGACCGCCUGGGGAGUACGGUCGCAAGAUUAAAACUCAAAUGAAUUGACGGGGGCCCGCACAAGCGGUGGAGCAUGUGGUUUAAUUCGAUGCAACGCGAAGAACCUUACCUACUCUUGACAUCCAGAGAACUUUCCAGAGAUGGAUUGGUGCCUUCGGGAACUCUGAGACAGGUGCUGCAUGGCUGUCGUCAGCUCGUGUUGUGAAAUGUUGGGUUAAGUCCCGCAACGAGCGCAACCCUUAUCCUUGUUUGCCAGCGAGUAAUGUCGGGAACUCCAGGGAGACUGCCGGUGAUAAACCGGAGGAAGGUGGGGACGACGUCAAGUCAUCAUGGCCCUUACGAGUAGGGCUACACACGUGCUACAAUGGCGCAUACAGAGGGCAGCCAACUUGCGAAAGUGAGCGAAUCCCAAAAAGUGCGUCGUAGUCCGGAUUGGAGUCUGCAACUCGACUCCAUGAAGUCGGAAUCGCUAGUAAUCGUGGAUCAGAAUGCCACGGUGAAUACGUUCCCGGGCCUUGUACACACCGCCCGUCACACCAUGGGAGUGGGCUGCAAAAGAAGUAGGUAGUUUAACCUUCGGGGGGACGCUUACCACUUUGUGGUUCAUGACUGGGGUGAAGUCGUAACAAGGUAGCGCUAGGGGAACCUGGCGCUGGAUCACCUCCUUA